This is a long non-coding RNA of Haliotis rufescens (red abalone), 267 nucleotides long. RefSeq lists it as uncharacterized. Lineage: Eukaryota; Metazoa; Mollusca; Gastropoda; Lepetellida; Haliotidae. The transcript is spliced from 3 exons. The record is from RefSeq and is a predicted model, not a curated record.
CAAACACAACACUGUUACAGUAGGUGGCAUGGGGAUUAACAUCCUGUUACAGAUGUCACACAAACACAACACUGUUACAGUAGCUGGGGUAGGUGGCAUGGGGAUUAACAUCCUGUUACAGAUGUCACACAAACACAACACUGUUACAGUAGGUGGCAUGGGGAUUAACAUCCUGUUACAGAUGUCACACAAACACAACACUGUUACAGUAGGUGGCAUGGGGAUUAACAUCCUGUUACAGAUGUCACACAAACACAACACUGUUAC